UCUAUGCUUCUCUCGGGGUUGUGCCACUGUCCCAUGAGCGUGCGGUGUCCCGGAGUGCAUCGUGAGGGCAGCACUGCCAAUACCCACACAACAUGCCCACAUCAACUUGGGCUUGGCUUUCUAUUGGUGCUAUUUUUGUAAAA
This 143-nucleotide non-coding RNA is filed under the name Otolemur garnettii (small-eared galago). Lineage: Eukaryota; Metazoa; Chordata; Mammalia; Primates; Galagidae. The record is from RNAcentral.